CUACGGGACGCAGCAGUUAGGGAUAUUCGGCAAUGGGGGAAACCCUGACCGAGCAAUGCCGCGUGAAUGACGAAGUAUUUCGAUAUGUAAAGUUCUGUUGUUAAGGAAGAAAGGUACGAAUAGGAAAUGAUUCGUAAUUGACGGUACUUAACCAGAAAGCCCCUGCUAACUACGUGCCAGCAGCAGCGGUAAUACGUAGGGGGCGAGCGUUAUCCGGAAUUAUUGGGCGUAAAGGGUGCGUAGGCGGCCUGUCAAGUCCGAGUUGAAAGCCCACGGCUUAACCGUGGAGGGUGCUCGGAAACUGAUAGGCUUGAAUCCAGAAGAGGCAAGUGGAAUUCUAUGUGGAGCGGUGGAAUGCGUAGAUAUAUGGGGGAACACCAGUGGCGAAGGCGGCUUGCUGGGCUGGUAUUGACGCUGAUGCACGGAAGCGUGGGGAGCAAACAGGAUUAGAUACCCCUGUAGUC
Molecule: ribosomal RNA, 464 nt
Filed under: uncultured bacterium
Lineage: Bacteria
Description: partial 16S ribosomal RNA
Rfam family: Bacterial small subunit ribosomal RNA
Source: RNAcentral